This 232-nucleotide ribosomal RNA is filed under the name uncultured Pasteurellales bacterium. Its description in RNAcentral is "partial 16S ribosomal RNA". It matches the Rfam family "Bacterial small subunit ribosomal RNA", at positions 99 to 334 of the family's 1533-position model. Lineage: Bacteria; Pseudomonadati; Pseudomonadota; Gammaproteobacteria; Pasteurellales. The record is from RNAcentral.
CGGACGGGUGAGUAAUGCCUGGGAAUCUGGCUUAUGGAGGGGGAUAACUACGGGAAACUGUAGCUAAUACCGCGUAGAAUCGGGAGAUGAAAGUGUGGGACCUUCGGGCCACAUGCCAUAGGAUGAGCCCAAGUGGGAUUAGGUAGUUGGUGAGGUAAAGGCUCACCAAGCCGACGAUCUCUAGCUGGUCUGAGAGGAUGACCAGCCACACUGGGACUGAGACACGGCCCAG